AGUGAACGCUGGCGGUAGGCCUAACACAUGCGAGUCGAACGGCAGCACAGUAAGAGCUUGCUCUUACGGGUGGCGAGUGGCGGACGGGUGAGGAAUACAUCGGAAUCUACUUUUUCGUGGGGGAUAACGUAGGGAAACUUACGCUAAUACCGCAUACGACCUACGGGUGAAAGCAGGGGAUCUUCGGACCUUGCGCGAUUGAAUGGGCCGAUGUCGGAUUAGCUAGUUGGCGGGGUAAAGGCCCACCAAGGCGACGAUCCGUAGCUGGUCUGAGAGGAUGAUCAGCCACACUGGAACUGAGACACGGUCCAGACUCCUACGGGAGGCAGCAGUGGGGAAUAUUGGACAAUGGGCGCAAGCCUGAUCCAGCCAUACCGCGUGGGUGAAGAAGGCCUUCGGGUUGUAAAGCCCUUUUGUUGGGAAAGAAAAGUAGCAGGUUAAUACCCCGCUGUUCUGACGGUACCCAAAGAAUAAGCACCGGCUAACUUCGUG
Molecule: ribosomal RNA, 492 nt
Filed under: uncultured bacterium
Lineage: Bacteria
Description: partial 16S ribosomal RNA
Rfam family: Bacterial small subunit ribosomal RNA
Source: RNAcentral